Molecule: ribosomal RNA, 253 nt
Filed under: uncultured bacterium
Lineage: Bacteria
Description: partial 16S ribosomal RNA
Rfam family: Bacterial small subunit ribosomal RNA
Source: RNAcentral
UACGUAGGGAGCAAGCGUUGUCCGGAAUCAUUGGGCGUAAAGCGCGCGUAGGUGGCCUCGUAAGUCCGCUGUGAAAGUCAAAGGCUCAACCUUUGAAAGCCGGUGGAUACUGUGAGGCUAGAGUACGGAAGAGGCGAGUGGAAUUCCUGGUGUAGCGGUGGAAUGCGCAGAUAUCAGGAGGAACACCAAUAGCGAAGGCAGCUCGCUGGGACGUUACUGACACUGAGGCGCGAAAGCGUGGGGAGCGAACAGG